Long non-coding RNA from Esox lucius (northern pike), 676 nucleotides. RefSeq lists it as uncharacterized. The transcript is spliced from 3 exons. Lineage: Eukaryota; Metazoa; Chordata; Actinopteri; Esociformes; Esocidae. The record is from RefSeq and is a predicted model, not a curated record.
AAAGUGUGGUGACGUAGCUCUGCACGAGGAGCGUAAACAUCUGCACGUGGGACACGCAGUGGACGUGGUGACGCAGAAAUUAACCCCAAAAGAUCUUAACAGCAAAACAUCAACCUCAAAACAGAUGCAACACUGUCGCUGGUUGUUCAUCCCAGAAAGUACAACUGGAAGGCGCUUCUCAUCUGGAUAUCAGGCUUCACGCUCAGAUGUGGACCCAGAUGCAGACACGGCUCGUUUCCAAGUAACAAUGGUUUAUUAUGGAGAAGAGUAGUCGAGAAGGCAGGGUCGAUACCAGGCUGGCAGCAGAGGGACAGGCAAGCGGCAGGCAAGAGAGGAGUCAAGGGCAGGCAGGAGGUCGGUACACAGGCUGGCGGUGAAGGUACAGGUAGGUACUAGGCAGAGUAGUCGUUGACAGGCAGGAGAUCAGUACACAGGCUGGCGAUGAAGGUACAGGUAUGGAGCAGGCAGAGAGAUCAUAUUCAUUUUUCAACAACAAAAUACUAAUGUUUAACUUAGUAAGAGUUCAGAAAUCUAUAUUUUGUGAAAUAACCCAGAUUUUUUAUCACAGCUUUCAUGAGUUUUGGCAUGCUCUCCCCCAGUCUGUCACAUUGCUGUUGGGUAACUUUAUGCCACUCCUGGCACAAAAAUUCAAGUUGCUCGGCUUUGUUUGAUGACU